GAUGAAGAACGUAGCGAAAUGCGAUAAGUAGUGUGAAUUGCAGAAUUCAGUGAAUCAUCGAAUCUUUGAACGCACAUUGCGCCCUUUGGUAUUCCUUAGGGCAUGCCUGUUCGAGCGUCAUUUCAACCCUCAAGCCCUGCUUGGUGUUGGGCGUUUGUCCUGCCUCCGCGCGGGACUCGCCUCAAAGACAUUGGCGGCCGGUUUCCCUUUGCAGGCCACGAGCGCAGCACAGCGAGCGCUCUACGUGGACGCGGGGUCGGCGCACCAGAAGCCCUCUUUCUCGAAUUUUGACCUCGGAUCAGGUAGGGAUACCCGCUGAACUUAAGCAUAUCAAUAAGCGGAGGA
RNAcentral lists this unclassified non-coding RNA (345 nucleotides) under soil metagenome. RNAcentral describes it as "partial contains 5.8S ribosomal RNA, internal transcribed spacer 2, and large subunit ribosomal RNA". The stretch from base 1 to 120 matches the Rfam family "5.8S ribosomal RNA", at positions 35 to 154 of the family's 154-position model. The record is from RNAcentral.